UUGAAUUUGAAGUUGAAACCCUAAAUUGGACAAGAAUUGUGAUUUAAUUGAUAGAUCUUGAAUUUAGUAAUUUCUAGAAGAAUGGAUGCUUUGCACAGCCCUUAUGGUAUAUUUUUCUCUCCUUUCAUCAGGAGUAGCUAAAUUUCAUUGUUUGGGAUUAUGUUGAAGUAAGGUGCAAUUAGUUGUGGGUUGUGAUGUAUUUGUGUAUAUGCUAGUUGGUUCAUGAUGG
Molecule: long non-coding RNA, 229 nt
Filed under: Capsicum annuum
Lineage: Eukaryota; Viridiplantae; Streptophyta; Magnoliopsida; Solanales; Solanaceae
Description: long non-coding RNA (CANN_LNC006562)
Source: RNAcentral